CGGGGUGAGUAAUGUCUGGGAAACUGCCUGAUGGAGGGGGAUAACUGCUGGAAACGGUAGCUAAUACCGCAUAACGUCGCAAGACCAAAGAGGGGGACCUUCGGGCCUCUUGCCAUCGGAUGUGCCCAGAUGGGAUUAGCUAGUAGGUGGGGUAACGGCUCACCUAGGCGACGAUCCCUAGCUGGUCUGAGAGGAUGCCAGCCACACUGGAACUGAGACACGGCCAG
RNAcentral lists this ribosomal RNA (227 nucleotides) under uncultured bacterium. Its description in RNAcentral is "partial 16S ribosomal RNA". It matches the Rfam family "Bacterial small subunit ribosomal RNA", at positions 104 to 334 of the family's 1533-position model. The record is from RNAcentral.